This 516-nucleotide ribosomal RNA is filed under the name Colletotrichum fructicola. Its description in RNAcentral is "eukaryotic LSU rRNA". The stretch from base 153 to 306 matches the Rfam family "5.8S ribosomal RNA". Lineage: Eukaryota; Fungi; Ascomycota; Sordariomycetes; Glomerellales; Glomerellaceae. The record is from RNAcentral.
CCCUUUGUGACAUACCUAUAACUGUUGCUUCGGCGGGUAGGGUCUCCGCGACCCUCCCGGCCUCCCGCCUCCGGGCGGGUCGGCGCCCGCCGGAGGAUAACCAAACUCUGAUUUAACGACGUUUCUUCUGAGUGGUACAAGCAAAUAAUCAAAACUUUUAACAACGGAUCUCUUGGUUCUGGCAUCGAUGAAGAACGCAGCGAAAUGCGAUAAGUAAUGUGAAUUGCAGAAUUCAGUGAAUCAUCGAAUCUUUGAACGCACAUUGCGCCCGCCAGCAUUCUGGCGGGCAUGCCUGUUCGAGCGUCAUUUCAACCCUCAAGCUCUGCUUGGUGUUGGGGCCCUACAGCUGAUGUAGGCCCUCAAAGGUAGUGGCGGACCCUCCCGGAGCCUCCUUUGCGUAGUAACUUUACGUCUCGCACUGGGAUCCGGAGGGACUCUUGCCGUAAAACCCCCCAAUUUUCCAAAGGUUGACCUCGGAUCAGGUAGGAAUACCCGCUGAACUUAAGCAUAUCAAUA